This 749-nucleotide ribosomal RNA is filed under the name uncultured archaeon S15-10. RNAcentral describes it as "bacterial SSU rRNA". It matches the Rfam family "Archaeal small subunit ribosomal RNA", at positions 110 to 860 of the family's 1478-position model. The record is from RNAcentral.
CUACCUCAGGUCGGGGAUAACUCCGGGAAACUGGAGAUAAUACCGGAUAGUCCGUGAACGCUGGAAUGCGUCACGGUCCAAAGCUUUUGCGUCUGAGGAUGGGUCUGCGGCCGAUUAGGUAGUUGCUGGGGUAACGUCCCAACAAGCCGAUAAUCGGUACGGGUUGUGAGAGCAAGAGCCCGGAGAUGGAUUCUGAGACACGAAUCCAGGCCCUACGGGGCGCAGCAGGCGCGAAAACUCUACAAUGCAGGCAACUGCGAUAGGGGGACAUCGAGUGGCAUCCACCUUGGGUGCCUGUCCAACCGUCUAAAAAACGGUUGUUAGCAAGGGCCGGGUAAGACCGGUGCCAGCCGCCGCGGUAAUACCGGCGGCUCGAGUGGUAACCGCUAUUAUUGGGUCUAAAGGGUCUGUAGCCGGCCGGAUAAGUCUCUUGGGAAAUCCAGCUGCUCAACAGUUGGGCUUUCAGGAGAUACUGUUCGGCUCGAGACCGGGAGAGGUGAGAGGUACUUCAGGGGUAGGGGUGAAAUCUUGUAAUCCUUGAAGGACCACCAGUGGCGAAGGCGUCUCACCAGAACGGAUCUGACGGCAAGGGACGAAAGCUAGGGGCACGAACCGGAUUAGAUACCCGGGUAGUCCUAGCCGUAAACGAUACUCGCUAGGUGUCAGCCACGGUGCGACCGUGGUUGGUGCCGUAGGGAAGCCGUGAAGCGAGCCACCUGGGAAGUACGGCCGCAAGGCUGAAACUUAAA